AGUGAACGCUGGCGGUAGGCCUAACACAUGCAAGUCGAACGGCAGCACAGUAAGAGCUUGCUCUUACGGGUGGCGAGUGGCGGACGGGUGAGGAAUACAUCGGAAUCUACUUUUUCGUGGGGGAUAACGUAGGGAAACUUACUCUAAUACCGCAUACGACCUACGGGUGAAAGCAGGGGAUCUUCGGACCUUGCGCGAUUGAAUGAGCCGAUGUCGGAUUAGCUAGUUGGCGGGGUAAAGGCCCACCAAGGCGACGAUCCGUAGCUGGUCUGAGAGGAUGAUCAGCCACACUGGAACUGAGACACGGUCCAGACGACUACGGGAGGCAGCAGUGGGGAAUAUUGGACAAUGGGCGCAAGCAUGAUCCAGCCAUACCGCGUGGGUGAAGAAGGCCUUCGGGUUGUAAAGCCGUUUUGUUGGGAGAGAAAAGCAGCAGGUUAAUACCCCGCUGUUCUGACGGUACCCAAAGAAUAAGCACCGGCUAACUUCGUG
This 492-nucleotide ribosomal RNA is filed under the name uncultured bacterium. Its description in RNAcentral is "partial 16S ribosomal RNA". It matches the Rfam family "Bacterial small subunit ribosomal RNA", at positions 29 to 507 of the family's 1533-position model. The record is from RNAcentral.